AUACGUAGGGUGCGAGCGUUGUCCGGAAUUACUGGGCGUAAAGAGCUCGUAGGUGGUUUGUCGCGUCGUCUGUGAAAUUCCGGGGCUUAACUCCGGGCGUGCAGGCGAUACGGGCAUAACUUGAGUACUGUAGGGGAGACUGGAAUUCCUGGUGUAGCGGUGAAAUGGGCAGAUAUCAGGAGGAACACCGGUGGCGAAGGCGGGUCUCUGGUCAGUAACGGACGUUGAGGGGCGAUAUCAUGGGUAGUGAACAGGAUUAGUUUCCCUGGUAGUCCAUGUCGGAAACGGUGGGCGCACGGUGUAGGGGUUUUCCACGCUUUCUGUGCCGUAGCUACCGCAUUAAGCGAUCCGCCUGGGGCGUACGGCCGCAAGGCUAAAACUCAAAGGAAUUGUCGUGG
This 398-nucleotide ribosomal RNA is filed under the name uncultured bacterium. RNAcentral's name for it is "partial 16S ribosomal RNA". It matches the Rfam family "Bacterial small subunit ribosomal RNA", at positions 523 to 918 of the family's 1533-position model. The record is from RNAcentral.